CCAAUUUUCCCUUGUGGAUAGACCCCUAGAAAAUAAUGUCAUAUUUGAUUAAUUCUAUCAUUUUUGCAUUUGUGGUAUGUGUGAGAAAUCGUAUUUAUAUUUGUAAAUCAACCGACCUUAUCAGAAGCGCUUUAAGUUCUUAGUCUCUGGUGGAUUGUGGAUCGCCUAUCAGUAGCAGAACUUCCUGGGGUGGUUGGAAAUAUGCAGAUUUCUGUUCUGUCAGCCCCAAGCUGUGAAUUAAAUUGUGGGAUCUGGCUGAGAAAUCUUCAUUUCUAAAGGUAUUGAAUGAUUUUUUGGUCUACUUUUAUAUAUAUAUAUAACUGUUCUUAAUCUAGAAGAAAUAUAAGCAUAACUUUUAGAUAUACUAUAUAAAUAUAUAUUUACAGAUAUAUAUAUGAUGUGUAGUUGAAGUAUUAAUUUACAUUUGAAUUAAUAUAUAUUACAUAAGAAUUUCAGGAAUGCUUGCCAUUCUCACUUAGCUUUAUACUGACCAAGAGACCUGAGAGGAUUUCUCAUGCCCAUUAAUUGCUGAUAUUCUAAACCACUCACUGAAGGCCUCGUUGGAGUCUGUGUUAGUUUCCUGUGGCCACUGUAAAAAUUACCACACAAUUGGUGGCUUAAACAACAUAAAUUUCUUCUCUUACAGUUUUGGAGGACAGAAGUCUAAAAUCAAGGUGGUAUGUUCUGAGGUUCAUGUCCCCCCAGAAUUCACAUGUUGAAACUCUGCCAUCUAAAGCGAUGGUAUUAUUUCCUCUGGAAGGUAAUUCCGGUCAGAUGAGGUCAUGGGUGGAGCCGCAUGAAUGGUGUUAGUGCUGUUGGAAGAACCAUGGGGACCCUCCUCUCCGUGAGAGGAUACAAUGUGAAGUCAGCAGGCUUCAACCCAGGAGAGGGUUUACACCAGAACCUGACCGUGCUAGCACCCUGAUUUUGGGCUUCCAGGCUCCAGAACUACGAGAAAUAAGUUUCUGUUGUUUUUAAUGUUGAAAGUUUAGCUAAACUGCUCCAUAUUGUUGCCUCAGCAUCCAUUUUGUGUGGUUACGUAGCCUCCAGGGGCCUUGAACUGCGUAGCCCCUCCCUAGAGCGCAUGCCUUAAAGAACAGCCUGCAGAGUCACAGGUGAGUCUAAUUUCCUGAUAAGCCCCUGGUAAUAAAUAGUCUCCCCUGAUUCCCAGCUCCUUCUCCUGGCUUGUGCCUUAGGUAAGACCCCCACGCAACUUACCAAAGCUCUGCUCUUUCUGGUUUGAAGCGACCAAUCCAGCCUUAGCCUGGGAACCCCAAAACAUUCUACCCUUGGACUCUAAUAAAAGCGUAUGUCCCAGAUCCUGCUGCUCAUACUCUGCCUGCACCCUGCCUUGACCUCCCUGUGUGGCUCCUCGAGAUACCUCCUCCAGGACCUGGGAAGAGUUAAAAUUGUGUUGGAUUUUCAAAGCAACAUGUGGACCAAUGAACCAUGAACUGCAGCACCCCAUGCUUGGGACUCAGCACCCUACCACACUGCCUGACCCUCUCCAAUCCAUUAGAAGCAAGCUGCUUCUCACUGCUCCAACUCUUAACAGGCCUAUUAAAUUUUUUUCCAGGAACCACAUCUAACCACACCCCUUCAAAUCAUCUACCUGCAAAGAAGGAGGGGAAACCCAGAUGUCAGCAGAACAGAGGAGCGGAAGGAUAUUGGAAGAGCAGCAGUUAUAGCAUCUCAAAGAGCGAGUGUUAUGGACAAGAGCCCCGGCGAAGGCCACUGUGCCGUGUGACACCUCCGAUGCCUCAUUUAGAGGGAUUUCAAAAGGAUUAAAUAAUUGUGAUUUUGGUCCUCUUGGUUUCUCUGAUGCUGCUGGGGCUCCCAUUUGCCUGAAGGGGCAUUCCUGUGAGUCAGCAUCCUCUCUAAUCAACAUGUUGCAGAAAAGUGUUUACACACAACAUCCAGAGAAGAGGUGGGAUGCCUACCACAGCAUGGCAUGCCUAGCGGUGCCAUGUCCGCAGCCGGGAUCUGAACUGGCGAACCCUGGGUCUCUGAGAAGUGGA
This 2018-nucleotide long non-coding RNA is filed under the name Equus caballus (horse). RNAcentral's name for it is "lncRNA (ENSECAG00000036732.3)". Lineage: Eukaryota; Metazoa; Chordata; Mammalia; Perissodactyla; Equidae. The record is from RNAcentral.